Molecule: ribosomal RNA, 204 nt
Filed under: uncultured bacterium
Lineage: Bacteria
Description: partial 16S ribosomal RNA
Rfam family: Bacterial small subunit ribosomal RNA
Source: RNAcentral
UUAGCUAGUUGGUGGGGUAAUGGCCUACCAAGGCGACGAUCCGUAGCUGGUCUGAGAGGAUGAUCAGCCACACUGGGACUGAGACACGGCCCAGACUCCUACGGGAGGCAGCAGUGGGGAAUAUUGGACAAUGGGCGCAAGCCUGAUCCAGCAAUGCCGCGUGGGUGAAGAAGGCCUGCGGGUUGUAAAGCCCUUUCGUCCGGG